UUUUUUAAUUGGGGUAGCCCCCAAAAUAUUGGGAUAUAUAAAAAAAAGACAACUCUGUUCCGUAGAGUAGCUGUUGACAUUAUAGUUGCGCAGGAACUUUGUUGACUCUUGAGAACCUCAUCCAGUUUCUGCGCCUACCAUGGUGACCACGGGUAAUGGGGAAUCAGGGUUCCAUUCCGUACAGGGACCCUGAGAAACGGCUACCACAUGCAAGGAAGACAGCAGACGCGCAAAUGACCCACUCCCAACACGGGAAGGUAGUGACGACAAAUAACAAUACAGGACUCUUUAGAGGCCCUGUAAUUGUAAUGAGUCCACUUGAAAUCCUUUAACUCUGAUCAAUUGGAGGGAAGUCUGGUGCAGAGCCACUGACCCAUGCGUGCUGCAGCUGAAA
This is a non-coding RNA of Pelobates cultripes (western spadefoot toad), 394 nucleotides long. The record is from the annotation of a GenBank genome assembly. Lineage: Eukaryota; Metazoa; Chordata; Amphibia; Anura; Pelobatidae.